This 400-nucleotide unclassified non-coding RNA is filed under the name soil metagenome. RNAcentral's name for it is "partial contains 5.8S ribosomal RNA, internal transcribed spacer 2, and large subunit ribosomal RNA". The stretch from base 1 to 120 matches the Rfam family "5.8S ribosomal RNA", at positions 35 to 154 of the family's 154-position model. The record is from RNAcentral.
GAUGAAGAACGUAGCGAAAUGCGAUACUUGGUGUGAAUUGCAGAAUCCCGUGAACCAUCGAGUCUUUGAACGCAAGUUGCGCCCGAAGCCUCGGCUAAGGGCACGUCUGCCUGGGCGUCACGCAUCGCGUCUCCCCCAAACCGCCAAGGCGGAGGGGAAGGAAGAUGGCUUCCCGUGCCUCACCCGGGCGCGGUUGGCCUAAAUUUGGAGCCCGCGGCACUUAGCUCUCGCGGCGAUAGGUGGUGAACAAGGCCUUGGCCGUGCACACAACCCGCUGCGAAGCUCUAUGUCACGUGCGCUCGUCGGACCCUUUGAAGUUGCCUUUGGUGACUUAAAACCUUUGCGACCCCAGGUCAGGCGGGGCUACCCGCUGAAUUUAAGCAUAUCAAUAAGCGGAGGA